UACGGAGGAUGCAAGCGUUAUCCGGAAUUAUUGGGCGCAAAGCGUCCGCAGGUGGCUAUGUAAGUCUGCUGUUAAAGAGCAAGGCUCAACCUUGUAAAGGCAGUGGAAACUACAUGGCUAGAGUGCGUUCGGGGCAGAGGGAAUUCCUGGUGUAGCGGUGAAAUGCGUAGAGAUCAGGAAGAACACCGGUGGCGAAGGCGCUCUGCUAGGCCGCAACUGACACUGAGGGACGAAAGCUAGGGGAGCGAAUGGG
RNAcentral lists this ribosomal RNA (253 nucleotides) under uncultured bacterium. RNAcentral describes it as "partial 16S ribosomal RNA". It matches the Rfam family "Bacterial small subunit ribosomal RNA", at positions 524 to 776 of the family's 1533-position model. The record is from RNAcentral.